GAUGAACGCUGGCGGCGUGCCUAAUACAUGCAAGUCGAGCGAACAGACGAGGAGCUUGCUCCUCUGACGUUAGCGGCGGACGGGUGAGUAACACGUGGAUAACCUACCUAUAAGACUGGGAUAACUUCGGGAAACCGGAGCUAAUACCGGAUAAUAUAUUGAACCGCAUGGUUCAAUAGUGAAAGACGGUUUUGCUGUCACUUAUAGAUGGAUCCGCGCCGCAUUAGCUAGUUGGUAAGGUAACGGCUUACCAAGGCGACGAUGCGUAGCCGACCUGAGAGGGUGAUCGGCCACACUGGAACUGAGAUACGGUCCAGACUCCUACGGGAGGCAGCAGUAGGGAAUCUUCCGCAAUGGGCGAAAGCCUGACGGAGCAACGCCGCGUGAGUGAUGAAGGUCUUCGGAUCGUAAAACUCUGUUAUUGGGGAAGAACAAAUGUGUAAGUAACUAUGCACGUCUUGACGGUACCUAAUCAGAAAGCCACGGCUAACUACGUG
Molecule: ribosomal RNA, 497 nt
Filed under: uncultured bacterium
Lineage: Bacteria
Description: partial 16S ribosomal RNA
Rfam family: Bacterial small subunit ribosomal RNA
Source: RNAcentral